GACGAACCGUGCGAACGUUAUUCGGAAUCACUGGGCUUAAAGCGCGUGUAGGCGGGACGGCACGUCGGUCGCUGAAAGCCCCCGGCUCAACCGGGGAACGGGCGCCGAUACGACCGCCCUGGAGGAACGUAGGGGGGACCUGGAACUUCCGGUGGAGCGGUGAAAUGCGUUGAGAUCGGAAGGAACGCCCGUGGCGAAAGCGAGGUCCUGGACGUUUACUGACGCUGAGACGCGAAAGCCAGGG
Molecule: ribosomal RNA, 244 nt
Filed under: uncultured bacterium
Lineage: Bacteria
Description: partial 16S ribosomal RNA
Rfam family: Bacterial small subunit ribosomal RNA
Source: RNAcentral